AUUGAACGCUGGCGGCAGGCCUAACACAUGCAAGUCGAACGGUAACAGGAAGAAGCUUGCUUCUUUGCUGACGAGUGGCGGACGGGUGAGUAAUGUCUGGGAAACUGCCUGAUGGAGGGGGAUAACUGCUGGAAACGGUAGCUAAUACCGCAUAACGUCGCAAGACCAAAGAGGGGGACCUUCGGGCCUCUUGCCAUCGGAUGUGCCCAGAUGGGAUUAGCUAGUAGGUGGGGUAACGGCUCACCUAGGCGACGAUCCCUAGCUGGUCUGAGAGGAUGACCAGCCACACUGGAACUGAGACACGGUCCAGACUCCUACGGGAGGCAGCAGUGGGGAAUAUUGCACAAAGGGCGCAAGCCUGAUGCAGCCAUGCCGCGUGUAUGAAGAAGGCCUUCGGGUUGUAAAGUACUUUCAGCGGGGAGGAAGGGAGUAAAGUUAAUACCUUUACUCAUUGACGUUACCCGCAGAAGAAGCACCGGCUAACUCCGUG
Molecule: ribosomal RNA, 490 nt
Filed under: uncultured bacterium
Lineage: Bacteria
Description: partial 16S ribosomal RNA
Rfam family: Bacterial small subunit ribosomal RNA
Source: RNAcentral